GACGAACGCUGGCGGCGUGCUUAACACAUGCAAGUCGUACGGUAAGGCCCUUUCGGGGGUACACGAGUGGCGAACGGGUGAGUAACACGUGAGUAACCUGCCCACAACUUUGGGAUAACGCUAGGAAACUGGUGCUAAUACUGGAUAUGUGCUCCUGCUGCAUGGUGGGGGUUGGAAAGCUCCGGCGGUUGUGGAUGGACUCGCGGCCUAUCAGCUUGUUGGUGGGGUAGUGGCCUACCAAGGCGGCGACGGGUAGCCGGCCUGAGAGGGUGACCGGCCACAUUGAGACUGAGAUACGGCCCAGGCUCCGACGGGAGGCAGCAGUGGGGAAUAUUGCACAAUGGGCGCAAGCCUGAUGCAGCAACGCCGCGUGCGGGAUGACGGCCUUCGGGUUGUAAACCGCUUUCAGCAGGGACGAAGCUUUUUGUGACGGUACCUGCAGAAGAAGCACCGGCUAACUACGUG
Molecule: ribosomal RNA, 465 nt
Filed under: uncultured bacterium
Lineage: Bacteria
Description: partial 16S ribosomal RNA
Rfam family: Bacterial small subunit ribosomal RNA
Source: RNAcentral